GGUCAAAUGAAUAAGAGCACAUGGUGGAUACCUGGGCACCUAGAGACGAAGAAGGGCGUCACUACCGACGAUACGCUCCGGGGAGCUGGAAGUAAGCUUCGAUCCGGAGAUUCCCGAAUGGGGCAACCUCAAGGACUCCCUGCUGAAUUCAUAGGCAGGGUAGAGGAAACCCGGUGAACUGAAACAUCUUAGUAGCCGGAGGAAAAGAAAGCAAACGCGAUUCCCUUAGUAGCGGCGAGCGAAACGGGACCAGCCUAAACCGGAAUUCGUUCCGGGGUUGUGGGACCAUCAAAACGAGAAGCGCAUGUCUGUUAAGCGAAGCAGCUGAAUCCUGCACCAUAGGGGGUGAAAGUCCCGUAGCUGAAAACAACAACGCUCUCGAUGGAAUCCCGAGUAGCAUGGGGCACGUGAAAUCCCGUGUGAAUCAGCGAGGACCACCUCGUAAGGCUACAUACUCCUAGGUGACCGAUAGCGAACUAGUACCGUGAGGGAAAGGUGAAAAGAACCCCCGCAGGGGAGUGAAAAAGAUCAUGAAACCGUGUGCUUACAAGCAGUGGGAGGGGCCUGAGCCCUGACCGC
Molecule: ribosomal RNA, 579 nt
Filed under: Nephroselmis pyriformis
Lineage: Eukaryota; Viridiplantae; Chlorophyta; Nephroselmidophyceae; Nephroselmidales; Nephroselmidaceae
Description: bacterial LSU rRNA
Rfam family: Bacterial large subunit ribosomal RNA
Source: RNAcentral